GGAAUGAGCUGAGAUCUUGAAUUAGCCUAGAAGUAGGAAGGAGCAGGGGUGGGGAGAGGUGAGUGAGCAGCUCAGUGGUGUCACAGCAGCAAUACGAAUAGCUCCAGUACAGACUGUGUUCUACCUGGCUGGAGAAACCUCCACCUAACUGUGCAAGAAAAGCUCCAAGUCCCCCUGCCCUAUAUUGAACUUGUUGCUCUAUAAACUGUAAAUCUGAAAUUAAACCCUCUCCACAACCAGCAUUUCACUAGCUCCCCUCUUACCAAAGGUAUCUUAUAGCCUGCAGCCCAGUGCAAGGGACGGAUGGGAAAUCUGAUUAAAAGCCAUUUUAUCAAAAAGUAUCAGCUAUCACAAAGGAAAGGGAAGCAUCUACUGUCCUCAGAGAUAAAAAAACAAAACUACCUUUGUGCCUGGAGCAGAAUUUAAACUCAGGGCUCCCACAUAUAAAACAUGCACUCUAGACAGGCCAGGGUUUUUUUUGUUUGUAAUUUCUCCUCCUCUUCCUCCUCCCCCAUUCUCUUUACCGUCUAAACAAGCAGGUCCUCCUUCCCCAAAAGUCAUUUUAUGACACAGCAGGACAGAAAUGAUAAAGAAAUGAAAACAAAAAAACAGAAGAAUUUGAAAACUCGAACCCUUUCUCCCUCCCCUGUGUCAGCCUUGCAUUUAUUCAAUUCUGACACCUAGUGGGCACCGCUACCAGUGGGGAGUGGAAGUGGCCAGCCAUGCUCACCAACAGCCUUAGCAGCAAUGCUGAUGCCCAUCAGCUGCUGGCUGAUGCUGCCGUGAGGGAUGUGCUCCAUCCUUAGCACAGCUGUGUUUCCUUAAGCCCUCCCAGGCCUUUGUGCUGAAUUUGCACUUGCAGACAUAUUGAGAACUGCACGUUCUGCGGUAGAGUCAAGGCUGGAAAAUGCUUGAGCGCUGAUCCCAGCGUCUCACGGCCCUGAGUCAGGAAACAGGCUUGGCGAUUAAGGCCUAUCCUUCAUUUCAGAGGGAUCAUCCAGGGGUCAGUCUGUUUUGUCACCCACCUGAGAUUAAGUUGCUGACAGUGAAGCGUGUGCCAGGAAAUCUCCACAUUCUUUCAGGAUGAGCAGUAAGGUUCUUUUGAACAAGGGCUUGGUUCCAUUCAGCUUUUGCUCAAUAUGAUCUCUGCCCUCAGGAAAUUUUCUAGACUAGUUUCACGCAGCACUGAACCCCCACAGUUGCUGGUAAUUCUACCCAUUUCCAGCUAGCCCAAAUGAACAAAACUGCUGUGGGGCUACCAAAGCACCAGCGCGCUUUCCACAGUGGCAGAGACCAGUCUAAGGCACAACAUGCACUCUACGCAGCUAUAAUCACCGAGCAUCUGUGGUGUGACGGCAAAGAGAGGGUCUACGACAUGAAAUGCUGUGCCACCUGGGAGUGCAAAUCCCACUGCGUUUCCCCAAGUGUUGAUGGAAGGGCAGGUAGGGAACUGAGAACAGUUUUUUUUGCAGCACGGUAUGGUGUUCCCUUCAUCGAUACCACACCAUGGGGAUUCCUGCUCAGACACUGCCAGCGUAAGAACUGUUGGGGUGUACACAGACA
Molecule: long non-coding RNA, 1563 nt
Organism: Oxyura jamaicensis (ruddy duck)
Lineage: Eukaryota; Metazoa; Chordata; Aves; Anseriformes; Anatidae
Exons: 2
Source: RefSeq, a predicted model, not a curated record